Molecule: long non-coding RNA, 1357 nt
Filed under: Marmota monax (woodchuck)
Lineage: Eukaryota; Metazoa; Chordata; Mammalia; Rodentia; Sciuridae
Source: RNAcentral
AUUUGCAGUACCACGAACAAUGUAUGAGUGUACCUUUUUCCUGAUGUCCUUGCCAACAUUUAUUGUUGCCUAUUUUCCUCAGGAUUGCCAUUCUGAAUGGAAUGAGAUGAAAUCUUAGUGUAGUUUUGAUUUGCAUUUCUUUGAUUGCUAGAGAUAUUGAACACUUUUUCAUAUAUUUGUUGAUUGAUUGUAUUUCUUCUUCUGUGAAGUGGCUGUUUAGUUCCUUAGCCCAUUUAUUGGUUAGGUUAUCUGGUUUUGUUGUUGUUGUUGUUUGGUGUUAAGUUUUUUGAGUUCUUUUUAUAUCCUAGAGAUUAAUACUUUAUCAGAGAUGCAUGUGGUAAAGACUUUCUCCCAAUCUAUAGGCUCUCUCUUCACAUUAUUGUUUCCUUUGCUGAGAAGAUGCUUUUUAAUUUGAAUCCAUCCCAUUUAUUGAUUCUUGAUUUUACUUCUUGUGUUUUAGGUAUCUUGUUAAGGAAGUCAGAUCCUAUCAUGAGCAACUUAGUCCUUCAUUUAUAAACACACAAAGACUACCAGAUAUAAGUAGGAAAUCAGUGAAAUGAAAAUGAAAGAAUAAAAUGAGAAAAGUGAAUUGUUGAUUCCAAAAGAGGUAUAGAUGGUGCAAGAAGCAAAAGAAAACUUAAAAAAAAAAAAACACUUAAAGUAUAUAGAGGUUCAAGAGGAUGUGUAGGGUGGUGGGGGAGAAAGAGAGAGAGACUAUGAACAACAGGCUUCCAUGGAAAGGAGAAAUCAGAUCAGAAAAGAAUUCUUAAAAGGAUGACAGUUAAAAUUAAAUAGAAGUGAUAUAAUAACAUAUCACUGAAUAAUGUGAACAGAAAUUCUCAUAUAGUUUCAAAAAAGCAUAGGGAUAUACAUGAAAAAAGUUGAUAUGUAGUUAUCAAUGUUUAUUUCAUUGUUAUUUUCUUUAUUUAACAGGGUUUCUUUAGCCAUUCUUAAUCUUUUCAGUUUGGAAAAGGUAUCUUGCUGUUUUUCAGCGGUCACCCCAAAAGUCAUAAACCUGUUAAACAUCAGUGAUAUCCAAAGUCUUUAAACUGAAUAUAUAAAGUAGCCUUUCUGUGGCAAUCAAUUACCAGUAGUUACAUUGUUUCACCAUGGCCUUUUCAAAGCUGUAUUGCUAGGAAAAGUAACAAAGUAUUUUAAGAAAAUUGGCCCUGUAGAAAGUAUGUCCCACCCCUUAUUAUCCUCAGUGCCACUUUCCAAGGGUAUUCAUUACUGGAGACUAAGGAGGCAUGAUGAGCUUUCUGUGUGUUCUCCAAGUCUUUUUGCACUGUACAUCUACAUGUGCAAAAUGUUGAACAAAGAUGGAAAUAAUUGUUUUGCAUCUUGCUUUUUUAACUCA